CAGGAAGAGAAUGAUAAUGGGCAGGGCUGAGAAGGGGAGGAAACAGGGCUCCAGGCCUGUGGCAAGAAGGAGAGGAAGGAGGGAGCCCCAGGACUUCCUGAACACACAGAUGGCAGCUCCAAGGUGAUCUUGUGUUCAGGAACAUUCCUUUCCUGAUGCCCCCUGUGCUUACCUAUAGAACACAUCUCACCAAUAAGUGAGGGCCUCCAGUGAGUUAGGGCUCCAGCCCACUCUGAAACCCAGCCAGCAUUGCUGCAGCACCCACCAACCCCAGGCCCUUCU
This 282-nucleotide long non-coding RNA is filed under the name Homo sapiens (human). Its description in RNAcentral is "HSALNT0181303". The record is from RNAcentral. Lineage: Eukaryota; Metazoa; Chordata; Mammalia; Primates; Hominidae.